Dallia pectoralis (Alaska blackfish) is the source of this 69-nucleotide non-coding RNA. NCBI's taxonomy places the organism in Eukaryota, Metazoa, Chordata, Actinopteri, Esociformes, Umbridae. The record is from the annotation of a GenBank genome assembly.
UAACCUACAGCUCAGUGGGAGAGUGCAUGCAUUGUAUGUAUGAUAUCCUGGGUUCAAUUCCUAGGUUAA